UACGGAGGGCGCAAGAGUUGUUCGGAAUCAUUGGGCGUAAAGCGCGUGUAGGCGGCUUGGUAAGUCGAGUGUGAAAGCCCGGGGCUCAACCCCGGAAGGUCGCUCGAAACUGCCUCGCUCGAGUCCCGGAGAGGAAGGCGGAAUUCCCGGUGUAGAGGUGAAAUUCGUAGAUAUCGGGAGGAACACCAGCGGCGAAGGCGGCCUUCUGGACGGUGACUGACGCUGAGACGCGAAAGCGUGGGGAGCAAACAGG
Molecule: ribosomal RNA, 253 nt
Filed under: uncultured bacterium
Lineage: Bacteria
Description: partial 16S ribosomal RNA
Rfam family: Bacterial small subunit ribosomal RNA
Source: RNAcentral